GAGCGUUAAUCGGAAUUACUGGGCGUAAAGCGCACGUAGGCGGCUUGGUAUGUCGGGUGUGAAAUCCCCGGGCUCAACCUGGGAACUGCAUCCGAAACUGCCUUGCUCGAGUAUGGGAGAGGGAAGUGGAAUUUCCGGUGUAGCGGUGAAAUGCGUAGAUAUCGGAAGGAACAUCAGUGGCGAAGGCGGCAUUCUGGACCGAAACUGACGCUGAGGCGCGAAAGCCAGGGGAGCAAACGGG
Molecule: ribosomal RNA, 241 nt
Filed under: uncultured bacterium
Lineage: Bacteria
Description: partial 16S ribosomal RNA
Rfam family: Bacterial small subunit ribosomal RNA
Source: RNAcentral